This 35-nucleotide non-coding RNA is filed under the name unclassified sequences. The record is from Rfam.
GCGGAGGAAGCCGAAAAUCUGGAAAAGAGUAGGCA